This 1373-nucleotide long non-coding RNA is filed under the name Sus scrofa (pig). Its description in RNAcentral is "lncRNA (ENSSSCG00070025820.1)". The record is from RNAcentral. Lineage: Eukaryota; Metazoa; Chordata; Mammalia; Artiodactyla; Suidae.
CUCUUAUUUGGUGAUUUUUCUAGAAAUACUUGUGUUAUCAAUUUCCAAGUUACAUUAUUAUCAAAACAUCUUCUAAAUAAUUUAUCCCUUUGAAGUAUUGAGACUUGCUUUAUGGCUGAGCAUAUGGUCUAUUUUGUAAACUACCCCUGUGUAGUUGGAGAAGAUUUAUUCUGCAAUUGUUGGAUAUAGUGUUUUAUAAAUAUUAAUGAUGUCAAGUUGGAUAAAAAUGUUGUUCAAACAGUCUUCUGUUUACUCAUUUUUUCCUGCUUGUUCUAUCAAUUACUGAGAGAGAUUUACCAGUCUCCUACUAGGAUUACAGAUUUUUCUAUUCAUCCUUUUAGUUCUGCCAACUUCUGCUUCAUCUAUUAUGAGGUUUUGUUUUUAGGUGUACACAUAUUUAGGACCGUUUUCCUAAUGAGAUCACUAUUUGAUUAUUAUGAGUGUCUUUAUUUUUGGUAAUAUUCAUUGACUAGGGGGUGUUUUUUCCAUAACAGUAAUAUUUUACUUUUCUAAUUGCAAUAGUAAUACUGUAUUUCUCAUCAUUGGUAUUUGCACAAGUAUUUUUCCAUCCUUUUACUUUAAACCUAUCUGAUCUUAUUUUUAAAGUACAUCCUUGCAAACAGCAUACGGUUGAGUCUUAUUUUCUUGAUCCAGGCUGAGACUGUAAGAAAUUCAUUUAAUAUCUGGUAUAUUCAAUUUUAAAAUAAACUUUUGGAAUAACUUUAGAUUUACAGAAAAGUUGCAAAAAUACAACAGGAGAAUCCUAAAUACUUCUUACUAGUUUUCUCUAUGUUAAUACUUUAUAUAAGCGUAGUACAUUUAUCAAAACUAAAAAAACAUUGUCACUUUACCAUUACAUAAAAUCCAGACAUUAUUUGGAUGUCACCAGUUUUUCCAUUAAGGUCAUUUUUCUGUUCCAAGAUCCAAUCCAGGAUUCCACGUGGCAUUUUUUAUUCCAUCUAUUAUUUCACCAUUUACUUUUAAUGCAAUUUUGUGUUUGCAAUUUUGCUUUUCUUCUUAAAGAUCACCCCUCCCAAAUUGUACAAACUUCUCGUUAGAUCUACCCUACUUUUGAUAGAUGUCUAAUUUUGUUUCUACCAUAAUAAUUUUUAAUGCCCUCCCUCCACCCAAACACAGAGAAAAAGACAGACAGAAUUGUGUGUGUGUGGUUUCUUUUGUUUUCUAAUUCUUGUUACAUAAACUAUUGUUAUUUUCUUUCAUCUUUCUCCAGUGAUCUUUAGAGCAUAUAUAUUAUUUUAGAUUCCACUACUGGUUAUCAUUUACUUUUAAAAAAAUUUUAUAUUUGAAUCUAUAUUUUUUAAAUUAGCUAAGACCCAAAUAAACAGUUUAUUUGGACUACCCUUACGUAUGAU